This 22-nucleotide non-coding RNA is filed under the name Arabidopsis thaliana (thale cress). Lineage: Eukaryota; Viridiplantae; Streptophyta; Magnoliopsida; Brassicales; Brassicaceae. The record is from RNAcentral.
UGGGACAAGAAUGGAUGCGCCG